RNAcentral lists this long non-coding RNA (701 nucleotides) under Rattus norvegicus (Norway rat). RNAcentral describes it as "long non-coding RNA NONRATT026459". The record is from RNAcentral. Lineage: Eukaryota; Metazoa; Chordata; Mammalia; Rodentia; Muridae.
CUGGACCGCGCCCACGUCCAGCGCCAGGAGGGUGGUCUUAAAGGUGUAUGUUCUUCCGGCUAUGGUGCAUUUUAUGGCUCUUGUUUACGCUUGCGUUUUUUGUGAAGAAAAGGCUGGGGAUGAACAGAAUGCGGCCGGGCAGGUGUCCCUGUUCCCUUCGAGCGGCAGCUGGCAGGUUUUCUCACAGAACCUCUCGUGCAUUGGAUGUGCUGAAUUAGUUACCACUGAUGACUUCCCGUCUCUACCUCCCCUUUGCUACAACGAUGGAUGAGCCACCACAUCUGGAUUUUUGCAUAGUUUAAGGAUUUGAACUUCGAUCUGUUAUGUGUUCAGCAAAUGAUUUCCCCACUAAACAACUCUCUGUCUCACCAACAUCAUUACAGCUUGACAACAACACUUCUCUCAAGAGGUCUGUCUUCCUAUUUCCCUUUGGGUUGUUUGUUUGUUUGUUUGUUUUCUUUUUUUUAAUUGGCCUUUCAAAAUGGACUACAUUUCCCAGAACUCUGAAGGCACCCAAUAUCACAUGAUCAUAAUCCAUCCAAUAAGGGGAGUGAUGUGUUCUUCCUCUUUUCCUCUUUCCUCCUUGGCCUAGUCUAAGACAGCGGAAUACUGGAUCUUGAGGAGGAAGGCCAUCUUUUAGAGACUUUAAAAGAAGACAGCAACAGUGAACUUACAUAUAAUAAAUAAAUAAAUAAGCUCUG